UACGGGGGGGGCAAGCGUUGUUCGGAAUUACUGGGCGUAAAGGGCGCGUAGGUGGCCUUCUAAGUUGAACGUGAAAUCCCUGGGCUCAACCCAGGAACUGCGUCCAAGACUGGGAGGCUUGAAUCCGGGAGAGGGAUGCGGAAUUCCAGGUGUAGCGGUGAAAUGCGUAGAUAUCUGGAGGAACACCGGUGGCGAAGGCGGCAUCCUGGACCGGUAUUGACACUGAGGCGCGAAAGCCAGGGGAGCAAACGGG
RNAcentral lists this ribosomal RNA (253 nucleotides) under uncultured bacterium. RNAcentral describes it as "partial 16S ribosomal RNA". It matches the Rfam family "Bacterial small subunit ribosomal RNA", at positions 524 to 776 of the family's 1533-position model. The record is from RNAcentral.